GGCUGAAACUCGCCUACAUGAAGCUGGAAUUGCUAGUAAUCACAGGUCAGCAUACUGUGGUGAAUACGUUCCCGGGCCUUGUACACACCGCCCGUCACACCAUGAGAGUUGAGAAUACCCGAAGCCCAUGUCAAAGUGGUCGAAGGUAGGCUUGAUGAUUGGGGUGAAGUCGUAACAAGGUAAC
This 184-nucleotide ribosomal RNA is filed under the name uncultured bacterium. Its description in RNAcentral is "partial 16S ribosomal RNA". It matches the Rfam family "Bacterial small subunit ribosomal RNA", at positions 1303 to 1500 of the family's 1533-position model. The record is from RNAcentral.